CUAAGAUCUACUCUGUGAGGCCUUUAUUCCUGUCUCCUCUCAAGGGGCGCCAUCUCUUCCGGAACAAGUGCACACACUUGUUCAUGAGACUAGAAGCCUUGAGAACGUGCGGUGCUGAUCACUGAGGAACCACCAGGAGAAGUUAUCUGGAUUGACGGACCAUAGGGCUUUUCUUUCUCUGGAGGAGCCCCAGGCCAACCAGGCAGUUCCUGGCCCACCAAGGAUGCUGCACAGGGCACACCACCAAGGAUCCAUGAGUUAGUUCAACCACCCCCUCUCCUCCCACCAAAAAGCAAGCCAGCCUGGCUCAAGUACAAAGCCCAGGUUUCCAGCUAUGAUACCCCAGUUAUCUGAGCUUCAUUCAAUUCAGUAGACAGGGUUGCUGCUGAGCAUUUCCUACGAUCUCCAGUCACCUGUCAGAAGAGACGUGGGCCUACUUUACAGCAAAGAUACUGAUGCUCCUAGGUGGUAAGCCCUGUGCUCCAGGCUGAAGUCUCAACACUGGCUGGAACCCAGGCUCUUGGACUUCAUAUUCUUUGCCCACACUCUAGAGCUUGCAGCAACAACCCCCCACUCCCC
This 579-nucleotide long non-coding RNA is filed under the name Bos taurus (domestic cattle). RNAcentral's name for it is "long non-coding RNA NONBTAT001873". The record is from RNAcentral. Lineage: Eukaryota; Metazoa; Chordata; Mammalia; Artiodactyla; Bovidae.